GGAACUAGGCAAAAUGGUGCCGUAACUUCGGGAGAAGGCACGCUGGUGUGUAGGUGAAGCCCCUGCGGUUGGAGCUGAGACCAGUCGAAGAUACCAGCUGGCUGCAACUGUUUAUUAAAAACACAGCACUGUGCAAACACGACAGUGGACGUAUACGGUGUGACGCCUGCCCGGUGCCGGAAGGUUAAUUGAUGGGGUUAUCCGUAUGGAGAAGCUCUUGAUCUAAGCCCCGGUAAACGGCGGCCGUAACUAUAAC
RNAcentral lists this ribosomal RNA (256 nucleotides) under Klebsiella pneumoniae. RNAcentral's name for it is "partial 23S ribosomal RNA". It matches the Rfam family "Bacterial large subunit ribosomal RNA", at positions 1709 to 1946 of the family's 2925-position model. Lineage: Bacteria; Pseudomonadati; Pseudomonadota; Gammaproteobacteria; Enterobacterales; Enterobacteriaceae. The record is from RNAcentral.